CUCAAUUCGAGAUACAUUGAACCCUUUCGUAUCAUUGAAAGGAUUGGGCCAGUGGCUCAUAGACUUGAAUUACCCCCGGAGUUAGAUCGGAUUCAUAAUGUCUUCCAUGUCUUGAUGUUGAAAAAGUAUGUUCCUGAUCCCUCUCACAUUCUAGAGACACCCUCCAUUGAGUUGCAUGAAGAUUUGAAGUUCGAGAUGUAGCCUAUACGUAUUCUAGAUCGAAAGGAUCGAGUGCUAAGGAACAAGAGUAUUCCAAUGGUGAAAGUAUUAUGGAAAAAUGCUCGAAUGGAAGAGAUGACAUGGGAAGUCGAGCGCUAGAUGAGAAACCAAUAUCCACAUCUUUUCUUGGAAUCUGGUGGUGAAUCCUCCGAUAAAGGUAAGGAAAUAGUACUCGAGGAUCGGUAGUCAGAGUACUCUAGAAAUUCGACUCCCGAAAUAGUUCAGAUUAGACUGUAGAUAGCUGAGUUCAUCGAGGACUACCCUUGGAUUUGCAUUCCUUCAAACUGUAAGUUCACAGUCCUCUUUACUUUUGGUUAUUCGGGGGCCCACUGGUCAUUGUAAAUUAAAUUAAAUGCUCUGGU
Molecule: small RNA, 581 nt
Filed under: Theobroma cacao (cacao)
Lineage: Eukaryota; Viridiplantae; Streptophyta; Magnoliopsida; Malvales; Malvaceae
Description: sRNA Tc04v2_g007210
Source: RNAcentral